AGCCUUAGAAAAUGGGAAAAUGAACACGAAUCCUGUCUGCAAAGUUCUACUGUGACUUUGAGCCCUCUCCAAUGGCAGUGGAAGCACAGGCCCCAUGACCUGAAACUCUGAGAUACCCGUGGAGACCUCUACAAUGUGCUGUGAAUACAAACUACCCACUACAUCCUCAUAAUCUCAGGUGUUGGUCACCCCUCUAUUACAUGACUUUGGGAAUUGCCCCUCCGCAUGUCCUCACUACAUUAUGAAUCUGUGUGGAGCCCACUUCAACCUGAAUGUGGCCAGAGGACCAAAUCCGGCUCAGGUCAAGGAAUCCAUGAAGUGAAUGUGAACAGAGCCCCCAUAUACAUUGUGACUUGACCUCUGAAGAACAUGGGGAGCCUGUACAGUGUACAUGUGAGCAGGACCCACACACAACCCCACACUCAGGCAUUUGUGAAGAUCUGAGACACACAGAUGUAAAGAGCGGCCCUCCAUGUCCUGGCAAUCAGGGUAUGUGUGGUCCUUCUACAACAGGAGAGCACAACCAAGGCAGCUCCAUCUUGGUCACAUAUGGAACCCUGUACCACAUGGAAAGGACAGCAGCCCCACUUCCUUCUGACUGGCUCAGAGGUGUGGAAAUCCUCUGCAACAUGGAUGUGACCAGAGCCAUGUUUCAGUGGUGAUGAUCACGUGUGUGGUGCCUCAACAAAGAGGAUGUGAUGAGAGCCACCAACAUCCUCAAUCCCUGAGGCAUGAAAACUAACAUGACCACAACUCCCUGUGUAUCUAGCUCUAAUGUGAUUGUGAUCCCUGUACUAACUGGUUGUCACAUGAGAUGUCCAUGACCUCACUAAGUGGCUGCAGAUGGGUCACUACUGAUAUAAAUGUGAGCAGGGCUUCCUGCAUCCCCUGACCAGUCCUUAUGACCUAAGUCAGGUGGAGACCCUUGUACAAAGUAAACUUGACCUCAACACCCACCAUGUCCCGACCUGCUCAAACUCGUUUGAUGACUUGGGCAAUGGAACUGGAAAUCCAGCCCCAGCCCCAUGGUGUGAAGUCUACCACAAGGUGGUGAGCACAAAAUCCUGUGUCCUGACCAUUUCAGCAGGGUGUGUAGCACUGCACAGUACACAUGUCCACAGGGGCCCUCCAACAUGUCGUGAUGACCUCAGGCACUGGUGGAGCCCCAUAGAAUGUGAAAGUGCACAGAGACUUGCAAAUUCCUGACAAACUUGGGUGUGCAGUUCUUUUACUGAGUCAGCUAGAACAAAGCCCUACAUGUUCUAUGCCUUGCCACCCUGAAGGGAACCCUGUCCAAAGAGAAUAUGUCCAGAGAUGCACCAUUUACUGAGCAUUGCAUGCCUGAGGAAAACCUCGAUAACAUGGCCAUGAGCAGUGCACCCCACCAUGGGGACAAAGCUUCUCCCAAGUGUGGAGCCCUCUUCAAAGUGAAUGUGAAAAGAGCACCCCAUGACCUUGGGAGCUCAGUUGUGGGUGGAACACUGUACACCUGAAAUGUGAGCAGAGCCUCUCCAUGUCCUCACAACCCCUGGCCUCUGUAGAGCCAAGGACAGCGUGGAUGUGACCAGCCUAACCAUGCUAAGCAUCUCAGGGGAUUCAAGCCCUCUGUUGCAAGGAUGCAAUCACCUGAGCUUUCUAAGUCUGCAGCACCUAAGCAGUGGUGGAGCAAUCUGCAUCAUUCAUGUGACCAAUGCUCAACUGGCCUGACCACAUUGGGUAUAUGGAUUCCUCAAUGGUGUGGAUAAGACCAGAGCACCCCAGGUUUGAUCCAUGUUCUGCAUCUACGCACCCCUUAUUAAUGCACCUGUGAAUCGGGCCACAGGUCCUGACAACAUCACUUAUGUGUAGGCCUGCAAAAAGAGAACAUGGAAGAAGAGUGACUCUCCAAGUCCUUAUCCUGCCGGGAAGGUUGGUCCCUAAAAAAUGUGUACGUGAACAGAAAACCAAGCCCUUGACAUGUUGUCUUGAGAACUCUGUUGAGCCUUCCAUACCAUGGAUAGAAACAGAGCUCCCCAUGUCCUGACCACAAACCCUUUCCAUGGAGCUCUGAACAACUUGAAUGAAAGCAGAGUCUGCACACACCACACAUGCCCUGACAAACGGAGACAUGUACAGAGCCCUCCACAAUGGGAAAGUGACCAGAGCCCCACCUUUAUCUUAAGCACCAGAGGUGUGCAAGCAGCCCCUUACAAAGUGGAUGUGAGCAGAGCCUCUUGCCCUCCUGACCAGCUCACGCAUGUGUGGUGCCCUGCACACUGUGAUCGUGACCAGAGCCUCCCCGUGUCCUGACGACCUCAGGCAUUGGUGGUGCCCUGGACAACGUGAGUGUAAUCACAGCCCUGCCACACACUGACACUCCCCUGUACGCGUGCUUCUGAUACACCGGGAAGGUCAGCACACCCCACCCACACUGCACACCUGCAUCAUGCAUGGAGCCCUCUACAUGGUGAACGUGAGAAGAGCCCCACCAUUUCCUGACCCACUCAGAACAUGAACAAAGCAGCCAAUUCCGUCAAUGCCUCAGGCAUGUGAGGAAACCUCUACGAGGGAAAUGCACAGUGUGCCUCCCACACAGACCACUGUGGAGCCCCGUACAACACUCCAUGUGUGCAGUGCCCUGGCAAGUCCGGACUACCUCAGGUAGGGUGGAGCCUGGCCAGGUGAAGAUCAUUUCUCCAAGUAUAGAGCCUUAGACAAUAGGGAGGUGAACACACUUCCCGUGUGCAAACUCAUACUGUGAU
This 2741-nucleotide long non-coding RNA is filed under the name Heterocephalus glaber (naked mole-rat). RNAcentral's name for it is "lncRNA (ENSHGLG00000047478.1)". Lineage: Eukaryota; Metazoa; Chordata; Mammalia; Rodentia; Bathyergidae. The record is from RNAcentral.